RNAcentral lists this long non-coding RNA (490 nucleotides) under Bos taurus (domestic cattle). Its description in RNAcentral is "long non-coding RNA NONBTAT005939". Lineage: Eukaryota; Metazoa; Chordata; Mammalia; Artiodactyla; Bovidae. The record is from RNAcentral.
UCAGGCCCUCGAAGCAGCAAGAGAGCCAAAUGAUGCAGGUGGACACUGUCUCCUUUGCGUCACACCCCAGGAGCUGUGCUUAUGACUAUAUCACUGAUAGAGCCGUGUCACAUGUAACAGGACGUGUGGCGAUGCACGUGGUGGAGAUGUGAGUCCGUGUGUGAUUGCGGUGUGCCUGUGUGCUUCCUGGCGGGUGGCGUGUGGCUGCUGUCCUAGGCCUGCAGAGACCUUGAUCUGGUUGAAGGUGUGAUUACAGAACUGGGCCUCUCUGGGGAGCAGGCAUUUCCUCUCGCACUGGGGUUUUCUGAGAGGGAGCUACUUAAGCACAGAGGCCUUAACGUAAAUACAUUUGUGUUCCCAGCUCUCAGCAGAAUAUUUGCAGAAUGUGCAGUAGAUCCGUGCUACUUUUAUUUGUGCUUCAACCAAAUCAGAACUGAGUCAGAGAGCUCUCAGAUCUCUUGAUGCACCAGGCCCUGUUCUAGUCAGACAG